GUCCACGCCGUAAACGAUGGAUACUAGCUGUUGGGGGCAACUUCAGUGGCUAAGCGAAAGUGAUAAGUAUCCCACCUGGGGAGUACGAACGCAAGUUUGAAACUCAAAGGAAUUGACGGGGGCCCGCACAAGCGGUGGAGCAUGUGGUUUAAUUCGAUGAUACGCGAGGAACCUUACCAAGGCUUAAAUGUAGAUUGACCGUUUUGGAAACAGAACUUUCGCAAGACAAUUUACAAGGUGCUGCAUGGUUGUCGU
RNAcentral lists this ribosomal RNA (255 nucleotides) under uncultured bacterium. Its description in RNAcentral is "partial 16S ribosomal RNA". It matches the Rfam family "Bacterial small subunit ribosomal RNA", at positions 793 to 1055 of the family's 1533-position model. The record is from RNAcentral.